Molecule: long non-coding RNA, 535 nt
Organism: Cyprinus carpio carpio
Lineage: Eukaryota; Metazoa; Chordata; Actinopteri; Cypriniformes; Cyprinidae
Source: Ensembl
GGCAUGUGUUUUAAACACAGAUUUAAGAGAUAAUAAUAUUUGAGGACUGGUUGGUUGGGGAGGGUGUAGUAUCUAUGGCCAGUACUGGAUAUAUAAGGGGGAGGGUCGUUCACUGUGGCUUUGCCCUGUGGUGUCACCCCAUGUCCCCUUCCUCACACAGCUGUCUUCUGUUUGUCCCUGUACAAAUAGUCUCUAAGGUGGUGUCAGAAUGGUGUGCAUGUGGAAGAGGAGGAAGGUUGCGUAACAUUAGUGUGUUUGCGUAUGCAGUGGAACAACAUACACUCAACUCCAGCUACUCCCUCCAGGACAGUUACACAACACAAAGUGAAGACGGUAUCCUGUAGAUACAGAAUUCUAGAACUGCCAAUCAGUAGAGACAGAACAACCAACAACUCUCCCUGAUGGCCACCUGCUGCCACUGCAAUCUGAAAACAAGAAAGGAGAGUGAUGUGAGGAUUAUGAGAAUGUGAUAAAACAAGAAAUGAGAUGAUAGAAUAUGUUGUUAAGCAGUUAUUAAUCAAUAAAUGAAUUAAAU